UACGUAGGGGGCAAGCGUUAUCCGGAUUUACUGGGUGUAAAGGGAGCGUAGACGGAAUUGCAAGUCUGAUGUGAAAAUCCGGGGCCCAACCCCGGAACUGCAUUGGAAACUGUGUAGCUAGAGUGCAGGAGAGGUAAGUGGAAUUCCUAGUGUAGCGGUGAAAUGCGUAGAGAUCGGGAGGAACACCAGUGGCGAAGGCGGCCUACUGGGCUUUAACUGACGCUGAGGCACGAAAGCGUGGGUAGCAA
This 248-nucleotide ribosomal RNA is filed under the name uncultured Ruminiclostridium sp. Its description in RNAcentral is "partial 16S ribosomal RNA". It matches the Rfam family "Bacterial small subunit ribosomal RNA", at positions 524 to 771 of the family's 1533-position model. Lineage: Bacteria; Bacillati; Bacillota; Clostridia; Eubacteriales; Oscillospiraceae. The record is from RNAcentral.